Molecule: ribosomal RNA, 495 nt
Filed under: uncultured Glomus
Lineage: Eukaryota; Fungi; Glomeromycota; Glomeromycetes; Glomerales; Glomeraceae
Description: partial 18S ribosomal RNA
Source: RNAcentral
CGUAAGGCGCCGAAUGAGUCAUUAAAAAAUUAACAUCAUCCGAUCCCUAGUCGGCAUAGUUUAUGGUUAAGACUACGACGGUAUCUGAUCGUCUUCGAUCCCCCUAACUUUCGUUCUUGAUUAAUGAAAACAUCCUUGGCAAAUGCUUUCGCAGUAGUUAGUCUUCAAUAAAUCCAAGAAUUUCACCUCUGACAAUUGAAUGCUAAUGCCCCCAACUAUCCCUAUUAAUCAUUACGUCGAUCCUAGUAAACCAACAAAAUAGAAUCAAACGUCCUAUUUCAUUAUUCCAUGCUAAUGUAUUCAAGCGCGAGCCUGCUUUAAACACUCUAAUUUUUCAAGUAACGGUCCUGAUUCCCCAUGACACCAAAUUAAUGACAUCAUGGUUCUUCAGAAGGGAGAAAUCAAAAUUGCCAGUACGUACCGAGGCACGACCAACAAAUUGAUCUCGAAAUUCAACUACGAGCUUUUUAACUGCAACAACUUUAAUAUACGCUA